RNAcentral lists this ribosomal RNA (253 nucleotides) under uncultured bacterium. Its description in RNAcentral is "partial 16S ribosomal RNA". It matches the Rfam family "Bacterial small subunit ribosomal RNA", at positions 524 to 776 of the family's 1533-position model. The record is from RNAcentral.
UACGUAGGUGGCAAGCGUUAUCCGGAAUUACUGGGCGUAAAGCGCACGCAGGCGGCGUAGCAAGUUCGACGUGAAAACUCCCGGCUUAACUGGGAGAGGUCGUUGAAGACUGCUAUGCUUGAGGCAAGGAGAGGGGUAUAGAAUUCCUGGUGUAGUGGUGGAAUGCGUAGAUAUCAGGGGGAAUACCAGUGGCGAAAGCGGUACCCUAGCCUUAGCCUGACGCUCAUGUGCGAAAGCGUGGGGAGCGAACGGG